GUGUGGGGAUUGGAGCGCGCCCGCAGUGUUGUUAGCCUUAGUUUUAAACCGGGUUUACUAGAUUUACACUGAGAUCGGACUGUCUGGAAAGCGCACUCCUCUUAAACCACAGAACGACCGGACUGAAGAGCAUCACCUGCGUCCCCACCUGCCUCAGGACCCUCAUCUCCACCUGCGUCCCCACCUGCCUCAGUGUCCUAUGAGGACAUCCAGCUCUGAAACACUGAGGACAUCCAGCUGAUCAGAGACCUGCUGCAGCGGGACCCCGAGAAACCACCAGCUGCCCGCCAGGGUUAAGCAGUGAAGGACCUGAGUGAGAGCAGCCUGUGGGAGGAGGGUAAUGAGACGAGCUGAAGUUCUUACUGUUCGCCGGUUGCCCCAGGGCUCCAUCCGCUGCCGAACCACAUGAUCAAGAUCAACCAAUCAGCACACAGAGAGGAGGAGCAGCGGCUAAAGCACUGAUCCAGAAGCAGCAGCUGAUCUGUAAAUACAGAUAAAACAGAUCCAGCUUCCACUGUACUGCAGUUUCCUGCCUGUUAAACCGCCUCCUUUCUGCUGGAUUUAUUGUAUUAAUUGUAUGUUUUAUAUGUAUUGUAGUGUUUUAGAUCUAUGUUGCAGUUUGUUGAAUGUUUGUACGUUAUGGUUUCUGUAUUUUAUGUAAUAUCUGUAUUGUGUUGUUUGUGAAGGAACGUAAUUUGAUUGGACGGUGUUCCUGAACUUUAAUUGAAGACGCAACGAAUUAAAGCCACUUUUUGACUUAAACCAACACAGAUACAGUUGUGAUGUCCAGACAUGCAAAUCCAAUCUAAUCAUUUCCAAAUAUCAGUGCAGACAUUUCUCUAAAGAUCUGAGUCCAGUUUCUCAAAAGCAUCUUCAUUUUAAAAUGUCAGAAAAUUGAAGAACAUAUAGAUAAUAAUCAUCCACCAAUUUAAAAUACUAAUAUCCAAAAAAAAGGAUGAGGCCUUAGAGCUGUGGUGGCUCAGUGGUAGAAUCAGCACCACCAAGAUCAGAAGGUUGAGGGUUCGAGUCCGGAGGAGAGUGAGCCUUUAAGAGUAUUUUUUGAGUAAAAUCGAAUGAUAAAUGCUAAAAAAAAAAGAAUGGUAAUUGGAAGAUCCUGUGUGGCUCAGUGGUAGAGCCCAGCCUCCCCGGUUAGGAGGUCGCCGGUUCGAAACCGGUCAGGAGAUCCACGUCACCGAACCUCAAACCUAAGAAAGGGGGGGGACGUUGGGGUGUGUCCCCCUCCGAACCCCGGAGAGAUAAAGAGUGGGGGUUAUAAACCCCAAAACCAGGAGAAACGCAGGGGUUAUGCUGAACUUUGCCAGUGCGCCGGCUGCGUUUU
Molecule: long non-coding RNA, 1339 nt
Organism: Astyanax mexicanus (Mexican tetra)
Lineage: Eukaryota; Metazoa; Chordata; Actinopteri; Characiformes; Acestrorhamphidae
Exons: 4
Source: RefSeq, a predicted model, not a curated record